This 440-nucleotide ribosomal RNA is filed under the name uncultured bacterium. RNAcentral's name for it is "partial 16S ribosomal RNA". It matches the Rfam family "Bacterial small subunit ribosomal RNA", at positions 339 to 795 of the family's 1533-position model. The record is from RNAcentral.
CUACGGGUUGCACCAGCAGGGAAUAUUGCACAAUGGACGGAAGUCUGAUGCAGCGACGCCGCGUGGAUGAUGAAGGCCCUCGGGUUGUAAAAUCCUUUUCAGGGGGACGAGGAAGGACGGUACCCUUGGAAUAAGCGUCGGCUAACUACGUGCCAGCAGCCGCGGUAAGACGUAGGACGCAAGCGUUAUCCGGAUUUACUGGGCGUAAAGCGUCUGUAGGCGGAAUGGUAAGUUGGACGUGAAAGCUCCGGGCUCAACCCGGAGAGGUCGUUCAAUACUGCCAAGCUAGAGGGCAGCAGAGGAGCGUGGAAUUUCCGGUGUAGCGGUAAAAUGCGCAGAUAUCGGAAGGAACACCAGUGGCGAAGGCAGCGCUCUGGGAUGAACCUGACGCUAAGAGACGAAAGCUAGGGGAGCGAACAGGAUUAGAUACCCCGGUAGUC